GACGAACGCUGGCGGCGCGCUUAACACAUGCAAGUCGAACGGAAAGGCCUGCUUUCCCUUGUGGAUUGCGGGUACUCGCGUGGCGAACGGGUGAGUAACACGUGAGUUAUCUGCCCCCAACUUUGGUAUAAGCCUGGGAAACUGGGUCUAAUUCCCGAUAGGACUGCAGGGUGGUUCCUGUGGUGGAAAACGAUUUUCUAGUGGUUGGGGAUGAGCUCGCGGGCUAUCAGCUUGUUGGUGGGGUAAUGGCCUACCAAGGCGGCGACUGGUAGCCGGCCUGGGAGGGUGGGCGGGCACAUUGGGACGGAGAUACGGCCCAGACUACUACGGGAGGCAGCAGUGGGGAAUAAUGCACAAUGGGCGGAAGACUGAGGCAGCGAGGCCGAGUGGGGGAUGACGGGCUUCGGGUUGUAAACUCCUUUCGACAGAGAGGAAGCGACCUGGUUGGAAGGGUGGUGACGGUAGUGGUAGAAGAAGCACCGGCUAACUACGUG
RNAcentral lists this ribosomal RNA (494 nucleotides) under uncultured bacterium. Its description in RNAcentral is "partial 16S ribosomal RNA". It matches the Rfam family "Bacterial small subunit ribosomal RNA", at positions 28 to 507 of the family's 1533-position model. The record is from RNAcentral.